RNAcentral lists this ribosomal RNA (502 nucleotides) under uncultured Sphingobacteriales bacterium. RNAcentral describes it as "bacterial SSU rRNA". It matches the Rfam family "Bacterial small subunit ribosomal RNA", at positions 374 to 876 of the family's 1533-position model. The record is from RNAcentral. Lineage: Bacteria; Pseudomonadati; Bacteroidota; Sphingobacteriia; Sphingobacteriales.
CCAGCCAUGCCGCGUCCAGCCAUGCCGCGUGCAGGAAGACGGCCUUCUGGGUUGUAAACUGCUUUUACCAGGGGAUAAAAUAUCCUUGCGAGGAAAAUUGAAGGUACCUGGAGAAUAAGCACCGGCUAACUACGUGCCAGCAGCCGCGGUAAUACGUAGGGUGCAAGCGUUGUCCGGAUUUAUUGGGUUUAAAGGGUGCGUAGGCGGGCUAUUAAGUCAGUGGUGAAAUCCAACAGCUCAACUGUUGAUGUGCCAUUGAUACUGGUAGCCUUGAGUACAGAUGAGGUAGGCGGAAUUGACAGUGUAGCGGUGAAAUGCAUAGAUAUUGUCAAGAACUCCGAUAGCGAAGGCAGCUUACUGGGCUGUAACUGACGCUGAUGCACGAAAGUGUGGGGAUCAAACAGGAUUAGAUACCCUGGUAGUCCACACUGUAAACGUUGAUGACUCGCUGUGUGCGAUAUACAGUACGCGGCUUAGAGCAAUCGUUAAGUCAUCCACCUGG